GCCAGGUGCGGUGGCACGUGCCUGUAAUCCCAGCGACCCAGGAGGCUGAGGCAGGAGGAUCCCAAGUUGGAGGCCAGCCUCGU
This 83-nucleotide small RNA is filed under the name Marmota monax (woodchuck). The record is from RNAcentral. Lineage: Eukaryota; Metazoa; Chordata; Mammalia; Rodentia; Sciuridae.